GAGACACUCCCUUCUCCCAAUCUUGGAAUGAAUUGCUGUUUUCUAAUGCUGAGUGAUGGGUUUUAUUGGUCAGCAAAAGAUGAUAGAAUGUGAUGUUUUAGGACAAUGUACCUGGACCACAACCGUUUGCCCUUAAUACUUGUGGUAAUACGAACUUGGACUCCUGCUAAUGGACCGGCUUGCCAAGUACAGGCCUUGAUCAGGAAUAAGUUACACAUCAAUUGUUGGACAUAAAUUACGGAAAGUAAACUCUUCGGACUUUAUAAAACACAGGCCUUGAGAAGAGCCUGGGAUUUUUGGCCUCUGGAGUCCCUCUCUACUUUUGCAGAAGUUCUUUCGUUCUUGGCUUUUCCUGUUAUCCAUCCAACUUUCUCCAACUGGGAAGUAGAUGAGGGCUUCCUGCUCCAGUCUCACAUGCUGUUUAGUGUCCACAAAAGCCAAGAGUUUUGCUUCUGUGAGAACUUAGCUGCAACUCCUUGCUCAAUAAAAAUUAUGCAACAUAAAAA
Molecule: long non-coding RNA, 506 nt
Organism: Rattus norvegicus (Norway rat)
Lineage: Eukaryota; Metazoa; Chordata; Mammalia; Rodentia; Muridae
Source: RefSeq, a predicted model, not a curated record